This is a long non-coding RNA of Drosophila montana, 1003 nucleotides long. RefSeq lists it as uncharacterized. The transcript is spliced from 2 exons. NCBI's taxonomy places the organism in Eukaryota, Metazoa, Arthropoda, Insecta, Diptera, Drosophilidae. The record is from RefSeq and is a predicted model, not a curated record.
AGUAAGAGUACCCUAGUCGGGGGUUUCCGACUUACUUCAAAAUUCAAAAUUCUGGAGUUGACACAAAAUCGUACAGCGCGGGUACUAGAUACUAUAUGACAGAUCGACAUGGCCAUAUCGACUUUAUCAUGUCGAACAUAUCUCCUGUUUAAUACGUUGACAUAAAAGCAAUAUACCCUCUUCGACUCAUUUUCAAUGGUUACAGGAUAUGAGAAAAAUAAUUUUAUAUAAUACAAGUUUAUUAUAUAAUUUAUUUUCUUCUCAUAAAGUCUUAUACAAAUGUUUGUUUAACUAGGGAUCGGGAUGUCCAUAUGGCCAUAUCUAAUACGAAUUAAGCCACGUCCAAUUACUCCAGUCUCUGGCCUUAUAAAAACGUUUGUGCACAAGUUAUUCCGUGUUAGUAUAAAAUACUUGUAGAAAUGAAAGUUAUAUUUGAAAUAUUACUCCUUGCAAUUUUAACGAACAUUCUCACAGCCGAAGGGCGCAAUUAUAUUAAAAGUCGUAAUUCACAACCCAAGGAUUCAUCCCAGCAACAACUACUUGAAAGUAGCAAUGGUCGAAUACAGAAUAACGUUUCUUUGAGAAAUCAGCAACAACGGUUUUUGGGAACUUUAAAAAGAAUUUGGAAAUUUAUUAAGAAAUUGUUUAAACCCAAGCGAAGGCGCCAUCGAAGACCCAAGACCCAAGACGGCCAAGACGACGGUCAGGAUUUCCAUCCAAACCAUAAAGACCGAAGCCGACGUCAAAGAAACCAAAACUGACAAAACCAACAAAGAAACCCAGCCCGAAGAUAAAAAAAAAAACAAUAAAUGUAAAAAAGAAGAAAACAAAACACGAAAGGAUUCCGAUACACAACUGAAGAUGCGACAACAUCCUGAACCUGAAUCUACUGAGGCGAUGACAGAUCCUAAAUCUACACGAGGUACUGGGGAAUCUAGGCGAAAAAAUGUAUCAGAUUAUAAACAAUAAAUUAACACUACAUCCGGGAAAAGAUGACGGCAUA